CUCCAUUCGCUGUAGAAACAUCAGCUUGAGCUCUGAGAGGAUUUCUGUCUCUUCUCUGGUGAAUGUAAAUCAUGGAAAGACUGGUGACGUUCCUCCUCACUGGAUCUCUGAUACAAGGUGUUUUUUGUGAGUUCAGUAUCAAUCUGCCAAAGAAAGUAGAAGCUCUACAAGGAUCCUGUGUUUUCAUUCCCUGCACAUUUGAUGUUGAUAAAA
This is a long non-coding RNA of Puntigrus tetrazona (Sumatra barb), 213 nucleotides long. RefSeq lists it as uncharacterized. The transcript has 3 exons. The record is from RefSeq and is a predicted model, not a curated record. NCBI's taxonomy places the organism in Eukaryota, Metazoa, Chordata, Actinopteri, Cypriniformes, Cyprinidae.